GUCUAUGGCCAUACUACCUUGAACAAGCCCGAUUCCAUCGGAUCUCAGAAGCUAAGCAGGGUCGGGCCUAGUUAGUACUUGGAUGGGAGACCACCUAGGAAGACCAGGUGCUGUAGCGU
Molecule: ribosomal RNA, 119 nt
Filed under: Pteropus alecto (black flying fox)
Lineage: Eukaryota; Metazoa; Chordata; Mammalia; Chiroptera; Pteropodidae
Source: RNAcentral